GACGAACGCUGGCGGCGUGCUUAACACAUGCAAGUCGAACGGAAAGGCCCUGCUUUUGUGGGGUGCUCGAGUGGCGAACGGGUGAGUAACACGUGAGUAACCUGCCCUUGACUUUGGGAUAACUUCAGGAAACUUGGGCUAAUACCGGAUAGGAGCUCCUGCUGCAUGGUGGGGGUUGGAAAGUUUCGGCUGUUGGGGAUGGACUCGCGUCUUAUCAGCUUGUUGGUGGGGUAGUGUAUUACCAAGGCAUUGACGGGUAGCCGGCCUGAGAGGGUGACCGGCCCAGUCAGGCCGGAGAUGAGGCACAGCCUAGUCUCGGAGGCAAGGGUGGGGAAUAUUGCACAGGAGGAUGGAGGCUGAUGUGGCCACGCCGCGCGCGGGGUGAGGGGAAUGCGGUUGUAAAGCAAAUUCGUCUGUGACGAAGCGUGAGUGACGGUAAUGGGUAAAGAAGCACCGGCUAACUACGUG
This 468-nucleotide ribosomal RNA is filed under the name uncultured bacterium. RNAcentral's name for it is "partial 16S ribosomal RNA". It matches the Rfam family "Bacterial small subunit ribosomal RNA", at positions 28 to 507 of the family's 1533-position model. The record is from RNAcentral.